AUGAUGUUUAACAUGAUUAUCAAGAGCCUCAAUUUGAGAGAAAUUGAGCUCACCAGUAGACAGUUUACAUGGGCCAACUCGCUACCUGUUCCGACUUAUGAAAAGUUGGAUAGGGUACUUGCUAGUGUGGAGUGGGAACAAAAAUAUCCGUUGGUGUCGGUUCAUGCGAUGCAAAGAGCGAUCUCGGAUCAUACACCACUCUUUUUAGAUUCGGGAGAGGCUACCCAUGUUGCAAACAAAAACAUCUUCUCCUUCGAGCAAAGAUGGUUUGAGCGAGAAGGAUUUAUGGAGAUGAUUGCACGCGAAUGGGCUAAGCCAGUUACGGGCAGGACACAUGUCGAGAGAUGGCAGAAUAAGAUUAGACACCUCCGACAAUUUCUGAGAGGAUGGGCCAGGAAUGAGAGUGGGAUUUAUAAGCAGAAAAAAGAACGUCUAACUCAACUCAUUGAGGCACUAGAUGUAAAGGCUGAAACCACUCUUCUUUCUGUUAAUGAGCAUCGAACCAAGUCUGAGGCUGAGCAAGGCCUACGUGCUCUCUUGAGAGAGGAGGAACUCAAGUGGGCGUUGCGUGCGAAAACGCUUAAGGUUGUCCAAGGGGACGACAACACACAGUUCUUCCAUAUGGUUGCAAAUGGUAAACAUAGGAAGAAGAAGAUCAUACAGCUUGAACAGGAUGAGGGAACAAUAGUGGGGCAUGAAAAUCUGAAAGCGUAUAUUUCCAACUAUUAUAAAAGCCUUUUUGGACCUCCGAAUACGUCCACGGUGUCUCUUGAUGAGUUUGUGAUUGAUGAUAUACCUCAAUUACAGGCAGCGGAGAACGAUGUUCUCUCUGCACCGUUUACUGGAAAAGAAGUUCAUCUGGCCAUAACUCAAAUGAAGCCGAAUAAAGCACCGGGACCAGAUGGGUUUCCAGCUGAAUUCUAUAAGAAAUGUUGGCAUAUCAUUAAAGAUGAUCUUAUGCCUAUGUUUCACGAUUUUUUCGAUGGCCAUUUGGAGUUGUUUCACCUCAACUUUGGUACGAUAACAUUAUUACCGAAGAAGAAUGAGGCGGUCUGGAUAGAACAAUUCCGACCCAUUUGCCUGCUGAAUGUGAGUUUUAAAAUCUUCACAAAGGUAGGAACCAAUAGAUUGACACAAAUUGCUCACUCAGUGGUUCAACCUAGUCAGACAGCUUUCAUGCCUGGACGACACAUACUCGAGGGAGUGGUUGUCUUACAUGAAACACUUCAUGAGAUUCACUCGAAGAAACUAGAUGGGGUUAUCUUAAAAGUGGAUUCCGAGAAGGCUUAUGAUAAAGUAAAAUGGCCUUUUCUUCAGCAGGCAAUGCGUAUGAAGGGUUUUAGUGAAACCUGGAGGCACCAGGUGGAUACUCAAGUCCAGAAAGGUAGUGUCGGAAUUAAGGUGAACGAUGACAUCGGUCACUACUUCCAGACGCAUAAGGGGUUGCGACAAGGGGAUUCCAUGUCACCUCUUCUGUUCAGUAUUGUGGCAGAUAUGUUGGUCGUCAUUAUUGGCAGGGCCAAGCAACAUAGCCAUGUAAAGGGUCUAGUUCCUCAUCUGGUUGAUGGAGGGGUGUCCAUUCUACAAUAUGCUGAUGACACUAUCCUUUUCAUAGAACAUGCCAUGGCUAAGGCACGUAACAUGAAACUUAUCUUAUUCUAUUCGAACAAUUGUCUGGAUUAA
This 1683-nucleotide ribosomal RNA is filed under the name Triticum aestivum (bread wheat). Its description in RNAcentral is "partial small subunit ribosomal RNA". Lineage: Eukaryota; Viridiplantae; Streptophyta; Magnoliopsida; Poales; Poaceae. The record is from RNAcentral.